RNAcentral lists this ribosomal RNA (271 nucleotides) under uncultured prokaryote. Its description in RNAcentral is "partial 16S ribosomal RNA". It matches the Rfam family "Bacterial small subunit ribosomal RNA", at positions 524 to 794 of the family's 1533-position model. The record is from RNAcentral.
UACGGAGGAUCCGAGCGUUAUCCGGAUUUAUUGGGUUUAAGGGGUGCGCAGGCGGGAGAUUAAGUCGGCGGUGAAAUUUUGCAGCUCAACUGUAAAAGUGCCUUCGAAACUGGUUUCCUUGAGUGUAGAUGAAGUAGGCGGAAUUUGUGGUGUAGCGGUGAAAUGCUUAGAUAUCACGAGGAACUCCGAUUGCGCAGGCAGCUUACUAAACUACUACUGACGCUCAGGCACGAAGGCGCGGGGAUCAAACAGGAUUAGAUACCCUGGUAGU